Molecule: long non-coding RNA, 1139 nt
Filed under: Mus spicilegus (steppe mouse)
Lineage: Eukaryota; Metazoa; Chordata; Mammalia; Rodentia; Muridae
Description: lncRNA (ENSMSIG00000012656.1)
Source: RNAcentral
CCAGGAUUGAGCCCCCUUGGAGACAUGCCUAUGGUGCUACGCAUGGUUGGUGGCACCUUAUGCUUUUCCAGUUCCUAACUUGUGUGCUACCAGCAACUCCCUUCCAGAUCCACAGCAUGGGACCAACACCAAGUACACAGGAGUCUUUUGAAGAUGGAGGGGAGCAAGCUCAGCCAUUAGUAGUCCCUCCUCCUCCCGUGAGCCCCUCCCCUGGGCCCUCCCUGCUCUGCGAAGGAUCACUGAGGGAGAGUAAACCACCAUCACCCUCAGCAGCUGCUGCACCAGCAGCACCACCACCAGCAGUACUAGCAUCAGCAGCACCGGCAGGACCGGCACCAGGCAGCAGCACUAGCAGCAGCAACAGCAGCACCUGUACCUGCACCAGCAUCUGCACCUGUACCACCACCAGCAGCAGCACUAGCACCAGCAGCACCAGCAGCACCAGCAGCACCAGCACCAGGAGCAGCAGCACCUGCACCUGCAGCACCACAAGCAGCACCACAAGCAGCAGCACCAUCAGCAGCACCUGCACUGGCACCAGCAGCAUUGGCAGCACCAACAGCACUGGCAAUACCAGCAGCACCAGUAGCACCAGCACCUGCACCAACCACACCAGCAGCAGCACCUGCACUGGCAGCACCAGCACCUGCACCGGCAGCACCUGCAGCUCCAGCAGCAGCAGCACCACCAGCAGCAGCAGCAGCACCAAGUUGCAGAUGACCCUGGCAUCUUCAAUGUCACCUGUCACUAUCAUCAUGUUUCAUCUUUCAAGCAGCUACCAAAACACACGCUUUAGCAUCCACCCUCACAACAGCCUUUGGGGAAUGUGUCUUUGUUUACCCUCUCUCAUCAAAGAAGAAAUCAAGGUAAGACUAAGUCAAGAAGACCCACUCACUGGACAUCAUUUGGAAGUGAACUUGGGCAGAUGGGACAGGGGAGGUGAACAGUGGAUGUGCCCUGCUUGAAUCAAUUUAGUGUGCCAUGCUUUCCGAUCUCAUAGUGGAGGGCAGGGCUGGGGUUGUGGCUCCAUUAGUAGAAUGUUUGCCAAGCGGAAAUGAGACCCUGCUUCAGUCAGUUCUCAGAACAUAAUGAACUGGGUGUGGCUGGUACAUACACAUAGUCCCAGCCCUCAGGAGGAG